AUUGAACGCUGGCGGCAUGCCUUACACAUGCAAGUCGAACGGUAACAGGGUGCUUGCACCGCUGACGAGUGGCGAACGGGUGUGUAAUGCGUCGGAACGUGCCGAGUAGUGGGGGAUAACGCAGCGAAAGUUGUGCUAAUACCGCAUACGUACUGAGGUAGAAAGUGGGGGACCUUCGGGCCUCACGCUAUUCGAGCGGCCGACGUCUGAUUAGCUAGUAGGUGAGGUAAAGGCUCACCUAGGCGACGAUCAGUAGCGGGUCUGAGAGGAUGAUCCGCCACACUGGGACUGAGACACGGCCCAGACUCCUACGGGAGGCAGCAGUGGGGAAUUUUGGACGAUGGGCGAAAGCCUGAUCCAGCCAUGCCGCGUGUCUGAAGAAGGCCUUCGGGUUGUAAAGGACUUUUGUCAGGGAGGAAAUCCCUAGUGCUAAUAACACUGGGGGAUGACAGUACCUGAAGAAUAAGCACCGGCUAACUACGUGCCAGCCGCCGCGGUAA
This 500-nucleotide ribosomal RNA is filed under the name uncultured bacterium. RNAcentral's name for it is "partial 16S ribosomal RNA". It matches the Rfam family "Bacterial small subunit ribosomal RNA", at positions 30 to 523 of the family's 1533-position model. The record is from RNAcentral.